This is a long non-coding RNA of Myotis daubentonii (Daubenton's bat), 1959 nucleotides long. RefSeq lists it as uncharacterized. NCBI's taxonomy places the organism in Eukaryota, Metazoa, Chordata, Mammalia, Chiroptera, Vespertilionidae. The transcript is spliced from 7 exons. The record is from RefSeq and is a predicted model, not a curated record.
GCCCGUUUGUUUCAGAGCUGUGUCACUGAGGAGCAGCCCCAGGGUUUCAUUAUGAGAGAAGCUGGGGCCAUGUACCUCCGUAGGCCCUGACCGUCCACAGAUGGAGAAGCCAUGGCUAGGCUCCGCCUUGACUUCUGCCAAAGCUCAUGCUGGAAACAGAUUCAAAAUCGUUCACACAAAAGCAGGGAAAAACAAAGCAGCUUUUAGACUUCACAGCUGGGCACAUGUGCCUAGAGCAGUGUUCCUGUUCUUUGCCUGGCUAACUUCUAUGCAUCCUUCUCAAUUUAAGUAUCACUUCCUCAGAGAAGCCUUCCUGGACAGCCCCACCACCAGUGGGUCCCAGCUAGUCUCACUUGGCUUCCUGUAAUUUUCACUUGUAGCACUUUCCGUAUUUUAUGGUUAUAUAUUUAUUUGUGUGUUUAUAUGCUUAAUGUCUUACCCCCACCACGAGACAAAAAAUUCCAUAAGAAAAAAACACACCUUUGUACCCCAAGUGCCUGGCCCCACAGAUACUCCACACUUGGCUGGAUGCCUUCCCUCCAGGUGUGGGUAGUUCUCACAGGUCAGCAGCCCUGAGCUGGAGCUGCCCCUGUCCUGGUAGAUAAGCUGGUUUCACGCCAUUGUGGCCCUGUCCCCUUUCUAACGGAGCACUAAGCCUCCUCUCUUUCCCUGGUUCCCUGGAGAGCACCUCGGAGGCCUCAUCAUAUCUGUAUAGACGCUGCUGAGGCGCCUACGCACAGGCAUGGUCUAGACUAGACAACAGUUUGCUGCGAGCAGCUGCAGCACAGACAAUGAGUGGGCUCAGCUUGACCCCACCCACCCCACUCAAGAUUCAACUCAAGCAAAUGGCAUGGGAACUGCUCCAAAAUGUAGGCAGACAGAAGGAUGGGAGCAGACGGGCAGGGAGAGGGAAAAGAUGCUGCUGGCAGGGGAGGGGAAGCAAGGCUGCUUUCCUUCCUGAGCAUCCCUUCUUGCCACGCAGAGCUGGCGGAUGCAAAGGAAGCAGCAUGAGGAGGGGCGUCUGGAAAAGCGGAAGCUGCUGCAAGCUCACUAAUGAGGUGCCUGGAGACAGAGGAGAAAGUGAACCUGCUGAAAAAGCUCCCCAGACCCUGGAGGAAUAUGCUGUCCAGAUUCACAGGUUCAAAGGGAUUUCUGCUGCUUUCUCCACCUGAUGUCUGCUGUGGUUCUAGCAUGCCAACCAGAGAGUCCAGGACCCUCUGGACUUCCUUACAAGCAAUCAUUCUCCUGGAAUUUAGGGAGCUGCCAAGCCAGAAAGCAUCAGGUGCUUCUACCAGCGCCACCAUCUUCCCUACAGGCCUAUUCUCCGUCUACAAAGCCAACCCAGGGAACCAAGAGGAAUUCACAGAACCAAGUGUUUCAGAUGAUGGACCAGUCACUCACAUGCCAGAUGGGAGAGCAAGGUGGAUUUGGGGGUCAGCUAAGCCAAGAGGGAAAGGAGCCCAGCCCAGAGUGACUACCCUCUUCCCCGCUGCGCUCAAAACCGAGCAAAGCCAACCGGUUUCCUCCCGUGACUUAAAACAGAGCAAAGUCUAUCCUGCCACAGAAGGCGGCUGUCAUCUCUUCCUUCCGCCAACAAACCGGCAUCAAACCUACGGAGUGGGGGUGCGCAGAGAAACCCAACGCCCCACCUACUGGCUGGAAGGUUUCCUGUGGCUCGAGUUGGUCUCACGGGAUGCAAACCAGAGCCAUAAACCAGAUGGAGUGGGUGAGGGAGCCUGAUCCUGGUUGGACGUGGGGUCUCAGGGUCUGGUGACUGUGCUGAGGUUCGUUCCUUGCCCACCAGCAUCUAGAUCCGUACAAGGCAAAAAGCUCACAAGGCAGGAGCCAUCCCAGAAAGCUCUGAAGUUUGGUGACGAUUCGCAGGCAUCUGUGAGCUGGAGGCCCCCACAGGAAAGCAGGGAUGGAAGCGCCCCUUACCAACUCCGAGGCUUGAACCUG